GGAAUCGUAGUGAAACCUACACUGUGCCCCUCCGAAGGCAGAGGUCGUAGGUUCGAAUCCUACCGGUUGCGCCA
Molecule: transfer RNA, 74 nt
Filed under: Alphaproteobacteria bacterium
Lineage: Bacteria; Pseudomonadati; Pseudomonadota; Alphaproteobacteria
Description: tRNA-Arg
Rfam family: tRNA
About the family: Transfer RNA (tRNA) molecules are approximately 80 nucleotides in length. Their secondary structure includes four short double-helical elements and three loops (D, anti-codon, and T loops).
Source: RNAcentral